GACGAACGCUGGCGGCGUGCCUAAUACAUGCAAGUCGAACGCAUUUUCUUUCACCGUAGCUUGCUACACCGAAAGAAAAUGAGUGGCGAACGGGUGAGUAACACGUGGGUAACCUGCCCAUCAGCGGGGGAUAACACUUGGAAACAGGUGCUAAUACCGCAUAAUUCCAUUUACCGCAUGGUAGAUGGGUGAAAGGCGCUUUUGCGUCACUGAUGGAUGGACCCGCGGUGCAUUAGCUAGUUGGUGGGGUAACGGCCUACCAAGGCUGCGAUGCAUAGCCGACCUGGGAGGGUGAUCGGCCACACUGGGACUGAGACACGGCCCAGACUCCUACGGGAGGCAGCAGUAGGGAAUCUUCGGCAAUGGACGCAAGUCUGACCGAGCAACGCCGCGUGAGUGAAGAAGGGUUUCGGAUCGUAAAACUCUGUUGUUAGAGAAGAACAAGGAUGAGAGUGGAAAGUUCAUCCCUUGACGGUAUCUAACCAGAAAGCCACGGCUAACUACGUG
This 507-nucleotide ribosomal RNA is filed under the name uncultured bacterium. RNAcentral describes it as "partial 16S ribosomal RNA". It matches the Rfam family "Bacterial small subunit ribosomal RNA", at positions 28 to 507 of the family's 1533-position model. The record is from RNAcentral.